Molecule: microRNA precursor, 112 nt
Filed under: Guillardia theta CCMP2712
Lineage: Eukaryota; Cryptophyceae; Pyrenomonadales; Geminigeraceae
Description: microRNA mir-598
Source: RNAcentral
AGAUGAUGAUGGAGAUGAUGAUGAAGAUGAUGAUGAUUUCAGAGGUAAAUAACACGAAUAACACAUCAACGACAACACAGUCAUCGUCAUCAUCUCAUCCUCAUCAUCUUCA